AGCGAACGCUGGCGGCAGGCUUAACACAUGCAAGUCGAACGGGCAUCUUCGGAUGUCAGUGGCAGACGGGUGAGUAACACGUGGGAACGUACCCUUCGGUUCGGAAUAACUCAGGGAAACUUGAGCUAAUACCGGAUACGCCCUUUUGGGGAAAGGUUUACUGCCGAAGGAUCGGCCCGCGUCUGAUUAGCUUGUUGGUGGGGUAACGGCCUACCAAGGCGACGAUCAGUAGCUGGUCUGAGAGGAUGAUCAGCCACACUGGGACUGAGACACGGCCCAGACUCCUGGGGGAGGGAGAGGGGGGAAAUAUUGAAAAGGGGGCGCAAGCCGUAUCCGCCCUUGCGGGGGGGGGAAGAAAGCCUUGGGGUUUGAAAAUCUUUUUUGCCGGGGCGGAAAAGGAGGGUCCGGAAAAAAAAGCCCCGGCCUAGCUUCGGC
This 435-nucleotide ribosomal RNA is filed under the name uncultured bacterium. RNAcentral's name for it is "partial 16S ribosomal RNA". It matches the Rfam family "Bacterial small subunit ribosomal RNA", at positions 29 to 508 of the family's 1533-position model. The record is from RNAcentral.